RNAcentral lists this ribosomal RNA (447 nucleotides) under uncultured bacterium. RNAcentral describes it as "bacterial SSU rRNA". It matches the Rfam family "Bacterial small subunit ribosomal RNA", at positions 355 to 825 of the family's 1533-position model. The record is from RNAcentral.
UCGGGAAUUUUGGGCAAUGGGCGAAAGCCUGAUCCAGCCAUGCCGCGUGAGUGACGAAGGCCUUAGGGUUGUAAAACUCUUUCGUCGGGGACGAUAAUGACGGUACCCGAAGAAGAAGCUCCGGCUAACUUCGUGCCAGCAGCCGCGGUAAUACGAAGGGAGCUAGCGUUGUUCGGAAUCACUGGGCGUAAAGCGCACGUAGGCGGAUAGUUAAGUCAGGGGUGAAAUCCUGGGGCUCAACCCCAGAACUGCCUUUGAUACUGGCUGUCUCGAGGUCGAGAGAGGUUGGUGGAAUUCCUAGUGUAGAGGUGAAAUUCGUAGAUAUUAGGAAGAACACCAGUGGCGAAGGCGGCCAACUGGCUCGAUACUGACGCUGAGGUGCGAAAGCGUGGGGAGCAAACAGGAUUAGAUACCCACGUAGUCCCUGAGCGGGCUGGCAAGGCGCAU